RNAcentral lists this ribosomal RNA (448 nucleotides) under uncultured bacterium. RNAcentral's name for it is "SSU rRNA". It matches the Rfam family "Bacterial small subunit ribosomal RNA", at positions 26 to 518 of the family's 1533-position model. The record is from RNAcentral.
AGAGCGAACGCUGGCGGCAGGCUUAACACAUGCAAGUCGAGCGGGCGUAGCAAUACGUCAGCGGCAGACGGGUGAGUAACGCGUGGGAACAUACCUUUUGGUUCGGAACAACCCAGGGAAACUUGGGCUAAUACCGGAUAAGCCCUUACGGGGAAAGAUUUAUCGCCAAAAGAUUGGCCCGCGUCUGAUUAGCUAGUUGGUGAGGUAACGGCUCACCAAGGCGACGAUCAGUAGCUGGUCUGAGAGGAUGAUCAGCCACAUUGGGACUGAGACACGGCCCAAACUCCUACGGGAGGCAGCAGUGGGGAAUAUUGGACAAUGGGCGCAAGCCUGAUCCAGCCAUGCCGCGUGAGUGAUGAAGGCCCUAGGGUUGUAAAGCUCUUUUGUGCGGGAAGAUAAUGACGGUACCGCAAGAAUAAGCCCCGGCUAACUACGCGCCAGCAGCCGC